Molecule: long non-coding RNA, 523 nt
Filed under: Numida meleagris (helmeted guineafowl)
Lineage: Eukaryota; Metazoa; Chordata; Aves; Galliformes; Numididae
Description: lncRNA (ENSNMEG00000002823.1)
Source: RNAcentral
GUGGAUGUUGGGUGGAAGAGUGGCCAUCACUUGGAAGUGUCCUUCACCAAAGCAUGUUCUUCCUCAGCCUUGCCAUUGUUUUCUAUUUAUUUUUGUAAGUGAAUAAGUAGAUGUUAAAAUGGCCUUGCUUUGUUACACUAAAACGUCUAGGUGGCUGUGUUCAGACCAAAAGCAGGGACCCUGGACAUUAGCAACUGCAAAUGGAGUUACUGCCCUGUGCUGUCAUGUGUUGCCACCAAAUGUGAUGGAGGAGAAGCCACAGAUGCCUUCAGCUGAAAGAGAAGGUAGACUCCUGCAUGGUGUGUUUGCUGCUACUUCUGUGCUAGAAGUUUCCACAGAGGGCUGAGAGUGAUGCCUCCAGGGGAAGGUGAGGGACUUGAAGACCAGUUCCUGGUGAGACGAUGUCCUGAGCAGAGUACCAACCAGGAAUACCCUCUUCAGAAAUGUUGGGCUGAUUGAAGGGUAAAUGUGGGGAGAUGAAGAGCAAUCACUACUGGGCUGCAAAGAAGGAAUGUAAAGAGUA